GCGCGCUUAGCUCAAUUGGUAGAGCAUCCCCUUGACGUGGGGAGGGUUGUAGGUUCAAGUCCUGCAGCGCGCACUA
Molecule: transfer RNA, 76 nt
Filed under: Candidatus Yanofskybacteria bacterium RIFCSPHIGHO2_01_FULL_39_44
Lineage: Bacteria; Candidatus Yanofskyibacteriota
Also listed under: 2 other names
Description: tRNA-Val
Rfam family: tRNA
About the family: Transfer RNA (tRNA) molecules are approximately 80 nucleotides in length. Their secondary structure includes four short double-helical elements and three loops (D, anti-codon, and T loops).
Source: RNAcentral